Molecule: long non-coding RNA, 316 nt
Filed under: Nicotiana benthamiana
Lineage: Eukaryota; Viridiplantae; Streptophyta; Magnoliopsida; Solanales; Solanaceae
Description: long non-coding RNA (NBEN_LNC012372)
Source: RNAcentral
AGAGACAAAGUAUAUCUAAGUAUUUAAUGAGAACUCCCUCGAAUAAAUUAAAAUUUGAAAGGAUUUAAUAACUUACAAAUUUCAAUCAGCUCUAUGUAAAAACCAUCAAGCAGACGUUAUAAAGCAGUUCAAGUAGUAGAUCUCGGUAAUUCCUUCAACCUAUUAGCCACAAACUUCUCCAAGAAUUACAUUUUGAAAAACUCUUCAAAUGCCGAAUAUAGAAAUCAGUAUUUUUUUUCAUUGCAAAUCUCUAAGAUCAUAUAAGUAAGAAUAUCAAGUUCUAGCAGCACUCCCUUGGAUGAAUUAUAGAUAUUUA